GUUGAACGCUGGCGGCAGGCCUAACACAUGCAAGUCGAGCGGAUGAAGGGAGCUUGCUCCUGGAUUCAGCUGCGGACGGGUGAGUAAUGCCUAGGAAUCUGCCUGGUAGUUGGGGAUAACGUCCGUAAACGGGCGCUAAUACCGCAUACGUCCUGAGGGAGAAAGUGGGGGAUCUUCGGACCUCACGCUAUCAGAUGAGCCUAGGCCGGAUUAGCUAGUUGGUGGGGUAAAGGCCUACCAAGGCGACGAUCCGUAACUGGUCUGAGAGGAUGAUCAGUCACACUGGAACUGAGACACGGUCCAGACUCCUACGGGAGGCAGCAGUGGGGAAUAUUGGACAAUGGGCGAAAGCCUGAUCCAGCCAUGCCGCGUGUGUGAAGAAGGUCUUCGGAUUGUAAAGCACUUUAAGUUGGGAGGAAGGGCAGUAAGUUAAUACCUUGCUGUUUUGACGUUACCAACAGAAUAAGCACCGGCUAACUUCGUG
This 484-nucleotide ribosomal RNA is filed under the name uncultured bacterium. RNAcentral's name for it is "partial 16S ribosomal RNA". It matches the Rfam family "Bacterial small subunit ribosomal RNA", at positions 28 to 507 of the family's 1533-position model. The record is from RNAcentral.